AUGGUCCAAUGCCUUGUCAGUUUCGAGUUGGUGUUCCCACCAUCCUUCUUCGAUAUUAUGACGCACCUCCUGCUCCACCUAGUCGAAGAGAUUUCCAUUCUCGGUCCUGUAUUUCUACACAAUAUGUUCCCCUUUGAGAGGUUCAUGGGAGUAUUAAAGAAAUAUGUUCGUAACCGUGCUAGGCCAGAAGGAAGCAUCGUCAAGGGCUAUGGAAAUGAGGAGGUAAUUGAGUUCUGUAUUGACUAUGUUCCUGACCUUAAGCCGAUUGGUAUUCCUCAAUCGCGGCACGAGGGGAGACUAAGUGGAAAAGGCAAGAUCGGAAGGAAAUCCACGAUAUGUAUGGACGGUCAUUCUAUGACUGAAGCACACCACACAGUUCUGCAAAAUUCCAGCUUUGUGGCUCCGUACUUCGAGCAACACAAGAAUAUUUUACACUCGGACAACCCGGGGAAGCCUGAAUCCUGGAUUAGAAAGGCCCACAUGGAGACUUUCGGCAGUUGGUUGCGAAAACAUUUAAUGAAUGACAAUGAUGUUGGAGAUCAGCUGUACAUGUUGGCCAAGAAACCAUCUUCGACUAUAACGAUUUUCCAAGGGUACGAGAUAAAUGGGAAUACAUUUUACACCAUCGCCCAAGAUAAAAAGAGCACCAACCAAAAC
Molecule: ribosomal RNA, 657 nt
Filed under: Triticum aestivum (bread wheat)
Lineage: Eukaryota; Viridiplantae; Streptophyta; Magnoliopsida; Poales; Poaceae
Description: partial small subunit ribosomal RNA
Source: RNAcentral